RNAcentral lists this ribosomal RNA (513 nucleotides) under uncultured chicken cecal bacterium. RNAcentral describes it as "bacterial SSU rRNA". It matches the Rfam family "Bacterial small subunit ribosomal RNA", at positions 8 to 521 of the family's 1533-position model. The record is from RNAcentral.
AGAGUUUGAUCCUGGCUCAGGAUGAACGCUGGCGGCGUGCCUAACACAUGCAAGUCGAGCGAAGCGGUUUCGAUGAAGUUUUCGGAUGGAUUCGGAAUUGACUGAGCGGCGGACGGGUGAGUAACGCGUGGGUAACCUGCCUCAUACAGGGGGAUAACAGUUAGAAAUGACUGCUAAUACCGCAUAAGCGCACAGGACUGCAUGGUCCAGUGUGAAAAACUCCGGUGGUAUGAGAUGGACCCGCGUCUGAUUAGCUAGUUGGUGGGGUAACGGCCUACCAAGGCGACGAUCAGUAGCCGACCUGAGAGGGUGACCGGCCACAUUGGGACUGAGACACGGCCCAAACUCCUACGGGAGGCAGCAGUGGGGAAUAUUGCACAAUGGGGGAAACCCUGAUGCAGCGACGCCGCGUGAGUGAAGAAGUAUUUCGGUAUGUAAAGCUCUAUCAGCAGGGAAGAAAAUGACGGUACCUGACUAAGAAGCCCCGGCUAACUACGUGCCAGCAGCCGCGGU